GAUGAACGCUAGCGGCAGGCCUAAUACAUGCAAGUCGAGGGGUAGAAGAGGCUUGCUUCUUUGAGACCGGCGCACGGGUGCGUAACGCGUAUGCAACCUACCUUCAUCUGGGGGAUAGCCCGGAGAAAUCCGGAUUAAUACCGCAUAAAAUCACAGGAUGGCAUUAUCCAAUGAUCAAACAUUUAUGGGAUGGAGAUGGGCAUGCGUGUCAUUAGCUAGUGGGCGGGGUAACGGCCCACCAAGGCGACGAUGACUAGGGGAUCUGAGAGGAUGGCCCCCCACACUGGUACUGAGACACGGACCAGACUCCUACGGGAGGCAGCAGUAAGGAAUAUUGGUCAAUGGAGGCAACUCUGAACCAGCCAUGCCGCGUGCAGGAAGACUGCCCUAUGGGUUGUAAACUGCUUUUAUUCGGGAAUAAACCUUAUUACGUGUAAUAAGCUGAAUGUACCGAAGGAAUAAAGAUCGGCUAACUCCGUGCCAGCCGCCGCAGUAA
Molecule: ribosomal RNA, 496 nt
Filed under: uncultured bacterium
Lineage: Bacteria
Description: partial 16S ribosomal RNA
Rfam family: Bacterial small subunit ribosomal RNA
Source: RNAcentral